CCUACGGGAGGCUGCAGUGAGGAAUAUUGGUCAAUGGACGCAAGUCUGAACCAGCCAUGCCGCGUGCAGGAAGACGGCUCUAUGAGUUGUAAACUGCUUUUGUACGAGGGUAAACGCAGAUACGCGUAUCUGUCUGAAAGUAUCGUACGAAUAAGGAUCGGCUAACUCCGUGCCAGCAGCCGCGGUAAUACGGAGGAUUCAAGCGUUAUCCGGAUUUAUUGGGUUUAAAGGGUGCGUAGGCGGUCGGAUAAGUUAGAGGUGAAAUCCCGGGGCUCAACUUCGGAAUUGCCGCUGAUACUGUUCGGCGAGAGAGUAGUUGCGGUAGGCGGAAUGUAUGGUGUAGCGGUGAAAUGCUUAGAGAUCAUACAGAACACCGAUUGCGAAGGCAGCUUACCAAGCUACUUCUGACGUUGAGGCACGAAAGCGUGGGGAGCAAACAGGAUUAGAUACCCCAGUAGUC
Molecule: ribosomal RNA, 460 nt
Filed under: uncultured bacterium
Lineage: Bacteria
Description: partial 16S ribosomal RNA
Rfam family: Bacterial small subunit ribosomal RNA
Source: RNAcentral